This 333-nucleotide unclassified non-coding RNA is filed under the name fungal sp. RNAcentral's name for it is "partial internal transcribed spacer region". The stretch from base 1 to 46 matches the Rfam family "Eukaryotic small subunit ribosomal RNA", at positions 1786 to 1831 of the family's 1831-position model. Lineage: Eukaryota; Fungi. The record is from RNAcentral.
AAGUCGUAACAAGGUUUCCGUAGGUGAACCUGCGGAAGGAUCAUCAAUGAAUUCCAAUAUUCAACCUGGCUUUGGUGACCUUUUGGACAUGUGCUGGAAGGUUGUCACUGCCUAUCAACCACCAGUCUCUGUCUUUUCGCGAAGGUGUCUUUUGUUAAGCAAGAGCCCUUUUUGCAAUAGACUUUGACUUUUUUUUGAGAUUGGCAGGUUCGCUUGUGGUUUUUGGGCUUGGUUUGACCAGCCUUGGCAACUUGCAACCUCUAAUCUCGUCAUUGUGGGCAACACAAAUUUGAAAUUAAAAUACAACUUUUAACGAUGGAUCUCUUGGCUCCC